This 449-nucleotide ribosomal RNA is filed under the name uncultured bacterium. Its description in RNAcentral is "partial 16S ribosomal RNA". It matches the Rfam family "Bacterial small subunit ribosomal RNA", at positions 29 to 523 of the family's 1533-position model. The record is from RNAcentral.
AACGAACGCUGGCGGCAGGCUUAACACAUGCAAGUCGAACGAGAUCUUCGGAUCUAGUGGCAGACGGGUGAGGAACACGUGGGAACAUCCCUUUCAGUUCGGAAUAACGUUGGGAAACUAACGCUAAUACCGGAUACGUCCUUCGGGAGAAAGAUUUAUCGCUGAAAGAUUGGCCCGCGUCUGAUUAGCUAGUUGGUGAGGUAAUGGCUCACCAAGGCUACGAUCAGUAGCUGAUCUGAGAGGAUGAUCAGCCACAUUGGGACUGAGACACGGCCCAAACUCCUACGGGAGGCAGCAGUGGGGAAUAUUGGACAAUGGGCGCAAGCCUGAUCCAGCCAUGCCGCGUGAGUGACGAAGGCCUUCGGGUUGUAAAGCUCUUUUAUCCGGGAAGAUAAUGACUGUACCGGAAGAAUAAGCCCCGGCAAGCUUCGUGCCAGCAGCCGCAGUAA